GAUGUGAAAAAUGUUAAAUUUCGGAAAAUGUUGAAUCUAGGCGGGUUUUUUGGCUAGAUGGGGGAGAUACAGGUACAUAGAAAGAAAAACUGGAGCUUGAAUUUAGAGAGAUAA
Populus euphratica (Euphrates poplar) is the source of this 114-nucleotide long non-coding RNA. RefSeq lists it as uncharacterized. The record is from RefSeq and is a predicted model, not a curated record. Lineage: Eukaryota; Viridiplantae; Streptophyta; Magnoliopsida; Malpighiales; Salicaceae. The transcript has 3 exons.